This 119-nucleotide transfer RNA is filed under the name Lachnospiraceae bacterium. Its description in RNAcentral is "tRNA-OTHER". It matches the Rfam family "tRNA". Rfam says of the family: Transfer RNA (tRNA) molecules are approximately 80 nucleotides in length. Their secondary structure includes four short double-helical elements and three loops (D, anti-codon, and T loops). Further hydrogen bonds mediate the characteristic L-shaped molecular structure. tRNAs have two regions of fundamental functional importance: the anti-codon, which is responsible for specific mRNA codon recognition, and the 3' end, to which the tRNAs corresponding amino acid is attached (by aminoacyl-tRNA synthetases). tRNAs cope with the degeneracy of the genetic code in two manners: having more than one tRNA (with a specific anti-codon) for a particular amino acid; and 'wobble' base-pairing, i.e. permitting non-standard base-pairing at the 3rd anti-codon position. Lineage: Bacteria; Bacillati; Bacillota; Clostridia; Lachnospirales; Lachnospiraceae. The record is from RNAcentral.
UGCACGGUAGUUUAAUGGUAGAACGUUAUGAGUAGUAGUUAUGUAACGUGACGCAGACAGCAAAAAAUCUUCUUCCAUCGUAUAAGGGAAAGAUGGAGGUUCGAUUCCUCCCCGUGCAA